Camelus ferus (Wild Bactrian camel) is the source of this 72-nucleotide transfer RNA. It matches the Rfam family "tRNA". From Rfam's summary of the family: Transfer RNA (tRNA) molecules are approximately 80 nucleotides in length. Their secondary structure includes four short double-helical elements and three loops (D, anti-codon, and T loops). Lineage: Eukaryota; Metazoa; Chordata; Mammalia; Artiodactyla; Camelidae. The record is from Rfam.
GAGGGUAUAGGUCCGUGGUAGAGUGCCUGCUUAGCAUGCAGGCGGUCCUGGGUUCAAUCCCCAGUACCUCCA